GGAAGGCAAUCGCGCCCGGUGGCGCGGCCGGGCUUCAAACCCGGUUGGGGACGGCAGUCGUUCCCGGGCAGGUUCGACUCCCGCUGCCUUCCGCCA
This 96-nucleotide transfer RNA is filed under the name Pseudomonas sp. NY5710. Its description in RNAcentral is "tRNA-Sec". It matches the Rfam family "Selenocysteine transfer RNA". Lineage: Bacteria; Pseudomonadati; Pseudomonadota; Gammaproteobacteria; Pseudomonadales; Pseudomonadaceae. The record is from RNAcentral.